CGUCAGGUAGCUCAAUGGUUUAGAGCAGUCGCCCGGCAAGCGAAAGACUCGGGUUCGAUUCCCGGUCUAGCGA
RNAcentral lists this transfer RNA (73 nucleotides) under Harpegnathos saltator (Jerdon's jumping ant). It matches the Rfam family "tRNA". Rfam says of the family: Transfer RNA (tRNA) molecules are approximately 80 nucleotides in length. Their secondary structure includes four short double-helical elements and three loops (D, anti-codon, and T loops). The record is from Rfam by way of RNAcentral. Lineage: Eukaryota; Metazoa; Arthropoda; Insecta; Hymenoptera; Formicidae.